GAUGAACGCUAGCGGCAGGCUUAACACAUGCAAGUCGAACGGUAACAGGAAUUAGCUUGCUAAUUUGCUGACGAGUGGCGCACGGGUGCGUAACGCGUAUACAAUCUACCUCUUACAGUGGGAUAGCCCAGAGAAAUUUGGAUUAAUACCGCAUAGUAUUAUGAAUUGGCAUCGAUUUAUAAUUAAAGUUUCGGCGGUAAGAGAUGAGUAUGCGUUCUAUUAGCUAGAUGGUAAGGUAACGGCUUACCAUGGCAACGAUAGAUAGGGGCCCUGAGAGGGGGAUCCCCCACACUGGUACUGAGACACGGACCAG
This 313-nucleotide ribosomal RNA is filed under the name uncultured bacterium. Its description in RNAcentral is "bacterial SSU rRNA". It matches the Rfam family "Bacterial small subunit ribosomal RNA", at positions 28 to 334 of the family's 1533-position model. The record is from RNAcentral.